Molecule: long non-coding RNA, 1875 nt
Organism: Ictidomys tridecemlineatus (thirteen-lined ground squirrel)
Lineage: Eukaryota; Metazoa; Chordata; Mammalia; Rodentia; Sciuridae
Source: RefSeq, a predicted model, not a curated record
AGGCUCCAAACAGCACACCCAAACACACACAGACGCAGGCUGCACGGUGGAAACUGAACGCUCAGCCAACUGUUCCCGAAGCCCUCCUGCGCCAGCUCACUGCGGCAAGGCUCACCCUGCGCCCUGCCCCCAACCAGGCCAGCCCAAAAAGGGCUACAGAACUGCUGCAGGAGCCACCCCCUCCUCCCCGCCAUCCCAGGAGAACCCCUGCACCAGGAGGAGCCCUGGUGAGGGAUAAGCCUGGGGGUCUCCCGUGCCUUCAGCACAGCACACCCAGUGUUGCCCACCGCACGCCAGAUCCUGACUACCUCCUGCGGAAGACUGCAACCCAGCCAGAGGUCACUGCAUGGUCGCAGCUGUCCCCCCAUCCCACCUUUGAGGGAGCUGAUCUCGUGCUGGAUGGCUCUCGAGGGGUCCAUGUCUCUGAUGAGGGCCGAGGGUGAUGCAGCUAUCUCCACGCAGAGUCCGGCACCGCACCGAACUGCCCCGGCCAGAGCCGGCUGGGGGAGGAACCGGGAGGUGUGGGGCGGGGCCGGCCAGUCAGAGGCGGGGCUUCAGCUGAUCAAUGUGCGGGACCAGGCUGCCCUGGGCGCAUGCUCCCAGCCAUGGGUCGCUCCACCCCGUCCUUCCUAACCUGCUGUCCCACACCUGCGACCCAGCUAUCUCCAACCAGGCAGCUCGGCCAUAAAACUGCAAUGUGGCACAUCCAGACAGCCCACCUCAGUCUCCAGCCUCCGCCACCCAGAGCCACACCUGGAAUGGCCUGCAGAAACCAUGAGCACAGGGCCUGUUCCUGGUCUUGAAGCCCUAACCACCCACUCCUGACUCCAAGGACCUCCUCAAGCUGCCUCCCCUGGGCCAUGACUGAAGGGCUGUCAUUGUCAUGCCUCGGGACCCCGAACAAGCCCAUUCACCCAGGAGAUGCAGUGAUAAUACCCUUCCCUUGGGCCCCAUCCCUGCUCAAGCCCUUCUCCAACAUGCAGCUGAUCACCCCACUGGUCCUACAGCUCAAGAUGCUUCUGUGCCCCAUGGGGACCGCACAAGCCCCAGCCUCUGCCUCCCCUAGCCCUUGGAGGCCCUUGUCUGCUCAGUUCUGUGGGUACUCAACUAACCACCACUUAGUGGCUUACACCAAAACCCUGGGGUCACCACUCCUCAUAGCCAGGCCCACAGGAUCUGCGGGUACUGCCUAUCAGUCCAGUUGUCACCCAUCUCCAUUGCCAUCAGAAUGACACGCAGCUCCUUGCUGAGCUGACCCCACCUCUCCACCACCUCCAGGGAACCAACAGCAGCUUCUCUGGGCCACCACCCCAGCCAGUGGCAGUGAACUGUCACUCCUGCCUCUUGGAGAGACCAUCUGGACUGCAGGAAGAGGUCAGCUCUGCCUCUCUGCAGGCUGCAGAAACCAUCAGGAACACUUGGGCCAUGUCCAUUCCACGGGGCAGGCACCCCAGGUCCUCUGUGCUGGGUGGGCAGUGUGGAACACAGAUGGGUCUCCACAAGAUGUGCUAAGAGCCUCGGUCUCCUGAAGACCUAAGUCUCCCUCCCAGCUGCUCAGUUCCACACCCUGCCAGGCAGGACUACCUCCUUAGGGUGCCCACCCUUUCUACAGGCAGGCCUGUGUAUGACUGGCCAGGGCUGGGACACAGGACAUGGCAUCGCCACACACAGGCUAACAGGCAAAGCAGCAGCAGGGGCCAGGCCCACCUGGGCUCCAGACCCAGCAGGCCUGGGGGUCCCUCAGCCUCCACCUCUGCUCUCCCUGGGGCUCAACCAGUCCAGGGCAUGAGUGGGUCUCACUAAACACCAGCUGCCUGAAUAUUUGGGGGAAAUAAUGAAGUGUGGAAUUAAAACAGAAUUUUGUGAAUUCUUACA